RNAcentral lists this long non-coding RNA (3648 nucleotides) under Homo sapiens (human). RNAcentral's name for it is "long independently transcribed non-coding RNA 2642, transcript variant 7 (LINC02642)". The record is from RNAcentral. Lineage: Eukaryota; Metazoa; Chordata; Mammalia; Primates; Hominidae.
AGGAUCAGCAUGACUGUAGUGUUCCUGGCUUAACCCUGAGAGGUUGCUGUUCCCAGUGACUAUCUAGGCUGAAGCCCAUGUAGGAUUUGAAGAGACUGAUCCAGGCUUUAUGAGUGGCUGCGACCAUGCUGUAUGUGUGUAUGUGUGUGUGUACACCGCCUAAGUGUGUUCAUUUCAGCCACAGCAAGAGUUAUGUUACAAGGAUAGCAUAGACAGCCCUGCCUAUUGCAAGAGUAAUGCAUCAGGUGUGAAACAGAUCUUUAAUGCUGUGUGAAGCAGGCUCUUUUAAGGAUGCUGUAUCAUGUCUCAGACGACUGGAUUCCUAAAAACUCCCCAAAUGAAGCAGGUCCAAUUAGUAUGGUGUCACCAAUAUAUGGAUCCAUGCGAUUGAUUAUCUGUGGAGUGUCCGGAUGGUCCAGGACCCUUCAGAUUAUAUUACGAUGGAGAACAGGAAAAUUAACCAAAACCUGGGCAAGACUGCGAAUGUGUGCUACUAUCCAUCCCAGUUCUGGAGGCCGGAGUUGGAAAUCAGUUUCACUGGGCACACAUGGAGGUGUUUGAAGGGCUGCCCGUGCCAGAGGCUCUCAGGGAGAAUCCCUUCCUUGUCUGUUCCAGCUCUACCUCCUCCUCUGCUGUAUACAAAGACAAAGAAACAGGCAAAGAAACAUCUCUGACAUCAAGAUCAGGAAGUCACAGAGAGUACUUGAGUACACAUUCAGAAGUUUCAAGGAUUUUCUGUUCGUUUAUUAAACCUUAACAUUUGCUGUACAAGUUUUCAACAGGCCAAGGUUAAGUGAAGAAUGAAAAUAAUGUUUAACUCCAUUACAAAAGAGGAGGCUUUUGAUACAGACUUCAUAAUGUUCUUUGAGGAAGCAGGUAUAUGAGGUUUGUACAUUGAAUGGAUGUUCUAGAUUGAGCAAAAUACCCUCUAUGCACUCUCCUGCAGAGAGUGUGGGUGAAAUAGAAAUGUAUUUCUGGAUAGAAAGAGCAAUGUAUCACAUGCAUUCUGAAGAAGUCUAGCUGAGCAAAACCUUAAGAUUUCCUGUUGUUGCUGGACCGUAGACAUCAAUAUGACCGCUUAGCAUAAAGAUAAAGGUACCUCAGGGCCCAAGAAUAAAAAUUCCAUCGAGCACAACUCAGCGCUCUGAAAAUCUAGAUUUCCCUAAUCCCAGAGGGUGAGAGCCAAGGAGGAGCUCGUCCUGCCCAUUCCUGCCUUCCUCUAUCCCUGGCACUCACACCACAAGUUUGCUCUACUCUUAAACAAAAGCACCUGUGUUUUAAAAUUUUCAUUUUAAGUUCUGGGGUACAUGUGUAGGACAUGCAGGUUUGUUACAUAGGUAAACUUGUGCCAUGGUGGUUUGCUGCACCCAUCAACCCAUCACCUAGGUAUUAAACCGCACAUGCAUUAGCCAUUUGUCCUAAUGCUCUCCCUCCUGCCAACCCCCCACCCCCGACAGGUCCCAGUGUGUGUUGUUCCCCUCCCUGUGUCCAUGUGUUCUUACUGUUCAGCUCCCACUUAUGAGUGAGAACAUGCAGUGUUUGGUUUUCUGUUCCUGUGUUAGUUUGCUGAGGGUGAUGCCUUCCAGCUCCAUCCAUGUUCCUGCAAAGGACAUGAUCUCAUUCUUUUUUAUGGCUGCAUAGUAUUCCAUGGUAUAUAUGCAUCACAUUUUCUUUAUUCAUUCUAUCAUUGAUGGGCAUUUGGGUUGGUUCCAUGUCUUUGCUAUAGUGAAGAGUGCUACAAUGAACAUACACCUAUUUUUUUUUAACCCACAUUAUUUAUAGUCUUGUUUUCAGUAUUUUGGUAGGCAGUGCCUGGUCUGCUCCUCUCCUCCCUUCUCUGAGUUGCCCUUUUCCUCAAUUCUCUUUUACCAACUUUCCUUUUGCGAUCGUCUCUACUCUCCUUUUCUCUAUACUUCCCCUUCUUUUUCUCUUGGCCUCGACUUCUGAAUCCUGUGACAAUGGCGUGGGGGGUUUGGUGGAGAGAGGGGAACUAAAAGUGGAAAUGAGACACUGGGGAAUAAUCACAAGAAAGGAAACAAGACUUCCCAACUCUCCCCGGCUGUGAGCCCCACGACAUGGUUUCCACAUGAGCCUUCUCCCCACUUUUGGCUGCCUCCCUGACACGUUUCCAAGGAGACCUUUCCAAGUCAAGGCCGCAGCUCCCAAAGUAUUGAAGCACAAACCCAGCCCACUUCCAAUAAAUCAUCCUCUACAUACAGUUGUCUGGUUUGUAUCAGAAUGUCCUUGGGAUUCCUGUAAUGCUUGUCUCCAGAGUCACUUAGCCAGCAUUUUGGCUAGUUUUUGUUUUUGUUUUUUUUUUUCUGAUACUCUGGUUGCAUAAAGUUAAACAGGGUUUGCAAAAUGUAAUUUCAUUAUAUGAACAACAAGUUCUAUACACUGAUGAAUAACUUGGUUUUAUGUGGGCACUUAAUUCCCAGUCUAGUGCUAAGUCUUUAUCUUAAUUUUAACUUUUAAGGCAAACAAUGCAAGGCAUCAUCUUUUGAGUGGGAAAGAGGAAAAGCAUUUUAAUGAAUGAGUUCUUGGUUGGGCGCAGUGGCUCACUCCUGUAAUCCCAGCACUUUUGGAGACUGAGGCAGGAGGAUCGCUUGAGCUCGGGAGUUCAAGACCAGCCUGGGAAACAUGGUGAAACCCCGCCUCUACACAAAAAUUAAAAAAUUAGCCGGGGAGGGGGAUUGAUUGUGUGCAUUUGCAGCUGAGCUGCAGUGAGUCCCAGCUACUCGGGAGGCUGAGGGGGGAAGAUUGUUUGAGCCUAGGAGGGUGAGGCUGCAGUGACUUAUGAUCCUGCCACUGCACUCCAGCCUGGGCAAUAGAGUGAGACUCUCCAAAAAAAGAAAAAUAGAAUGAAUAAUGAAUGAGUUCUUGAAAGGAGAGAUGUAGCUGGGCACAGUGGCUCACAUGCUUGUAAUCCCAGCACUUUGGGAGGAUAAAGCAUGUGCAUCACCUGAGGUCAGGCAUGGUGGCGGGUGCCUGUAAUCCCAGCUACUUGGGAGGCUGAGGCAGGAGAAUUGCUUGAACCCAGGAGGCUGAGGUUGCAGUGAGCCGAGAUCACACCACUGCACUCCGGCCUGGGUUACAAGAGUGAAACUCUGCCAAAAAGAAAGAAAGAAAGAGAGAGACAGAGACAGAGAGAGAGAGAAAAGAAGGAAGGAAGGAAGGAAGGAAGGAAGGAAGGAAGGUAGGAAGGAAGGGAGAGAGAGAGAGAAAGAAAGAAAGGAGAGAUGUGAAAAAUAUGUUUAAGAAUUUCUCAUACAUUCAUGUCUGAAAGGAAUCAUUUUAUUCAUCCCUCUUUCAUGGAUGAAGACAUUGAGGCCCAGGUGUGGUAAAAUUUGCCCGAAGUAGCCCGUGAGUCCGUGAGAUGUCCUGCUCCCAUCUGGAGAGGAGGAGACACGCACAGCCGUCUCCACCACAAGCCGGAUUCCAGACACUGAUCCUGCCACCACCACCCCAGUCUUCUGUCUGUCCCUCUCAGCAUGGCAGUCAUGUACCCUGGCACAAUUUCUGUGAAAAUCCCCUAAACCAAGCUUGUCUAACCUGUGACCCACAGGCCGCAUGCAGCCCAGGAUGGCUUUGAAUGCAGCUGAACACACAUUUGUAAACUUUCCUAAAACAUGAAUUUUUUCGCAUUUA